AUGGUGUUCCCGGAUUGCAUCAUCGACUCGGCUGGAUUGGGUUUCGCGGUGGGCGCCAUAGGCGGCUCCCCGUACCACUUCAUCAAGGGCCUUUACAGCUCGCCCAAUGGCCGGCGCCUCGCCGCCGGCGCUCAGGCUGUCCGCAUAAGCGCACCCCGCAUUGGCGGUAGUUUUGCCGCCUAUUGCGACCUCAUAGAAGCCUUCCGCUUCGCGAUGGUCUCGCCGCGCAAGAAGGACGACUCCUGGAGCUUCGUCCUUCCCGGGUUCGCCACCGGCAUGUGCCUGCCGGUCGGUCGUGGACCUCGCGCCGUCGGCAUCUCCGCGCUCGCGGGUCUAAGCAGUGCCGCCGCGAUGUACGAGGCACGCUUCUGGGCCAGGCACAUCCGCUAUACUAGACCGUAUGCGCGGCCACCCUUGGAAGAUCCCGGAGUCCCGGACUGA
RNAcentral lists this ribosomal RNA (441 nucleotides) under Triticum aestivum (bread wheat). Its description in RNAcentral is "partial small subunit ribosomal RNA". The record is from RNAcentral. Lineage: Eukaryota; Viridiplantae; Streptophyta; Magnoliopsida; Poales; Poaceae.